GUCGGGUAUGGUGGCCACACCUGUAAUCCCAGCAGCUCAGGAGGCUGAGGCAGGAGGAUCACAAGUUCAAAGCCAGCGCCAGCCUCUGCAAGUUAAUGAGGCCCUAAGGAACUCAGUGAGACCCUAUCUCUA
This 132-nucleotide small RNA is filed under the name Marmota monax (woodchuck). Lineage: Eukaryota; Metazoa; Chordata; Mammalia; Rodentia; Sciuridae. The record is from RNAcentral.